RNAcentral lists this RNase P RNA (323 nucleotides) under bovine gut metagenome. RNAcentral describes it as "Bacterial RNase P class A". It matches the Rfam family "Bacterial RNase P class A". Rfam says of the family: Ribonuclease P (RNase P) is a ubiquitous endoribonuclease, found in archaea, bacteria and eukarya as well as chloroplasts and mitochondria. The record is from RNAcentral.
UUGACGGGAUAAUCGCGGGGGCAACCCUGAGGAAAGUCCGAACACCCAAGGACAGGUCGCCGGAUAACGUCCGGUGCAGGUAACUGUGAGGAUAGUGCCACAGAAAUGCUGACUGCCGAUGGAACAUUUUGUUCACAGGCGAUGGUGCAACGGUGGUGUAAGAGACCACCGGUAAUACCGAGAGGUAUUAGCCAGGUAAACCCCGACAGGGUGCAAGAUUAGAAGAAUUAAGGUCGUCCGCCGCUCUUCUUCAUAUCGCUGGAGGCUAAGGGUAACUUUAGUCCAAGACAGAUGAUUAUCAAAUACAGAAUUCGGCUUACAGU